Molecule: ribosomal RNA, 1599 nt
Filed under: Escherichia coli TOP498
Lineage: Bacteria; Pseudomonadati; Pseudomonadota; Gammaproteobacteria; Enterobacterales; Enterobacteriaceae
Description: bacterial SSU rRNA
Rfam family: Bacterial small subunit ribosomal RNA
Source: RNAcentral
AGAGUUUGAUCAUGGCUCAGAUUGAACGCUGGCGGCAGGCCUAACACAUGCAAGUCGAACGGUAACAGGAAGCAGCUUGCUGCUUUGCUGACGAGUGGCGGACGGGUGAGUAAUGUCUGGGAAACUGCCCGAUGGAGGGGGAUAACUACUGGAAACGGUAGCUAAUACCGCAUAACGUCGCAAGACCAAAGAGGGGGACCUUAGGGCCUCUUGCCAUCGGAUGUGCCCAGAUGGGAUUAGCUAGUAGGUGGGGUAAAGGCUCACCUAGGCGACGAUCCCUAGCUGGUCUGAGAGGAUGACCAGCCACACUGGAACUGAGACACGGUCCAGACUCCUACGGGAGGCAGCAGUGGGGAAUAUUGCACAAUGGGCGCAAGCCUGAUGCAGCCAUGCCGCGUGUAUGAAGAAGGCCUUCGGGUUGUAAAGUACUUUCAGCGGGGAGGAAGGGAGUAAAGUUAAUACCUUUGCUCAUUGACGUUACCCGCAGAAGAAGCACCGGCUAACUCCGUGCCAGCAGCCGCGGUAAUACGGAGGGUGCAAGCGUUAAUACGGAGGGUGCAAGCGUUAAUCGGAAUUACUGGGCGUAAAGCGCACGCAGGCGGUUUGUUAAGUCAGAUGUGAAAUCCCCGGGCUCAACCUGGGCUCAACCUGGGAACUGCAUCUGAUACUGGCAAGCUUGCAUCUGAUACUGGCAAGCUUGAGUCUCGUAGAGGGGGGUAGAAUUCCAGGUGUAGCGGGGGGUAGAAUUCCAGGUGUAGCGGUGAAAUGCGUAGAGAUCUGGAGGAAUACCGGUGGCGAAGGCGGCCCCCUGGACGAAGACUGACGCUCAGGUGCGAAAGCGUGGGGAGCAAACAGGAUUAGAUACCCUGGUAGUCCACGCCGUAAACGAUGUCGACUUGGAGGUUGUGCCCUUGAGGCGUGGCUUCCGGAGCUAACGCGUUAAGUCGACCGCCUGGGGAGUACGGCCGCAAGGUUAAAACUCAAAUGAAUUGACGGGGGCCCGCACAAGCGGUGGAGCAUGUGGUUUAAUUCGAUGCAACGCGAAGAACCUUACCUGGUCUUGACAUCCACGGAAGUUUUCAGAGAUGAGAAUGUGCCUUCGGGAACCGUGAGACAGGUGCUGCAUGGCUGUCGUCAGCUCGUGUUGUGAAAUGUUGGGUUAAGUCCCGCAACGAGCGCAACCCUUAUCCUUUGUUGCCAGCGGUCCGGCCGGGAACUCAAAGGAGACUGCCAGUGAUAAACUGGAGGAAGGUGGGGAUGACGUCAAGUCAUCAUGGCCCUUACGACCAGGGCUACACACGUGCUACAAUGGCGCAUACAAAGAGAAGCGACCUCGCGAGAGCAAGCGGACCUCAUAAAGUGCGUCGUAGUCCGGAUUGGAGUCUGCAACUCGACUCCAUGAAGUCGGAAUCGCUAGUAAUCGUGGAUCAGAAUGCCACGGUGAAUACGUUCCCGGGCCUUGUACACACCGCCCGUCACACCAUGGGAGUGGGUUGCAAAAGAAGUAGGUAGCUUAACCUUCGGGAGGGCGCUUACCACUUUGUGAUUCAUGACUGGGGUGAAGUCGUAACAAGGUAACCGUAGGGGAACCUGCGGUUG